Molecule: long non-coding RNA, 2669 nt
Filed under: Canis lupus familiaris (dog)
Lineage: Eukaryota; Metazoa; Chordata; Mammalia; Carnivora; Canidae
Description: lncRNA (ENSCAFG00000056995.1)
Source: RNAcentral
UUUUUUUUUUUUUUUUCCUGACAAGAACAAUGGCCCAAACUGUGAUAUUCUUAAGAGGAAAGUGAACAAUCCCACUAUUCCCCGCUCCUGGAUGUAGAAAGGGAUGCAGGGGGAGGUACAGUAUCCUCUUGAUUCCUUCUCUUAUAGCUCACAUGAUUGGAGAAGUCCUUAUUAAACAUCUAGUAUGUGCCAAGCAUCUUUCUAGGUGCUGCAGAGAUAGCAUUCAAUUAAGAACUCCAAGUGUCUGCUCUCAGGAGUAGAGAAAAUCAACACAUCAAUAUUUUCUUGUUCAUUUAUGCACUUGCUUAAUUUUUGGUAAACCCCUGCUCUCUAGUUUUAUGUCCAGUGUUAUAUUUAUGCACAAGGAGUGUGACACUGCCAACAUUCGUAAGUGUUUGGAAGACAGGAAGAAAUCUACUCGCUUUUCUCUCUGGGGCAGUCAUCAAUUCCUAGGUGAUCACGAUCAGCAUCCUGGAAACAAUGAAUGAAAUACCAUUGACUCAAAAUCCCAUGUGCCAUUCAGUCACCCUACUAUGAUGGACUGCUUUUCAUGUGGAAAGUGAAUAAGCCUCAUGUUGUGUAGCUGAUCUUUCUAGAUGAUACAUAGAAAAAGUAAUAUAAAUCACUCUUUUCUUCUUCCAAAAGCAAAUGUAAUCAGCGUACCACCCUUCCCACUAUGGAUUGUAACAAUAUAUUUUGAAUAAAACUAGCGUUUGAAAAUGUACCAAAUGCAAUAGCACAAACGUGCUAGGAAUGGUUUUUAAUUUACAUUAUGAUUUUCUUCAGAACUGCUGCUUGGUUUCUGUAGCUUACCAAAGGAUCUGUCCCUAGUUGUAUGAUCACAUUAUUUGUGUCACUCUUUUAGUAGCUGUCAAAAUUAAUGAGUGUCUAUGAUUUCUAAUGGUUCAAAAAUGUCAUUUUGGAAGAUGGACUCUUGUUUACUUCUGGAGGAAGAAUUAAGAAGACAGCAUGAGGGAAGAGAGGACCAUAGGAAAUACAAUGAUUUUCUUAAGAUUGAAAUGAAAAUGUGUCUUUCUGAGGCUUAUAAGCAGAAAAAGAUACAGGCUUUGUGGAGUCAGAAAAAAAACUGGCUUGAUUCCUACUACACACUAGUUGUAUGAUUUUAUUUAUCUUAUUUUUUAAAAAUAUUUUAUUUAUUUAUUCAUGAGACACACAGAGAGAAAGGCAGAGACACAGGCAGAGAGAGGAGAAGCAGGCUCCAUGCAGGUAGCCCGACAUGGGACUCGAUCCCGGGACUCCAGGAUCACACCCUGGGCCAAAGGCAGAUGCUCAACCACUAAGCCACCCAGGCAUCCCUAUUUAUCUUAUUUUUAAAAAAGAUUUUAUUUAUUCAUUCAUGAGAGACACACAGAGAGAGGCAGAGACACAGGCAGAGGGAGAAGCAGGCUUCCUGCGAGGAGCUCGAUGCCGGACUCAAUCCCAGCACCGUGGGGUCACGACCUGACCUGAGCCAAAGCCAGACACUCAAUCACUGAGCCACCCAGGUGCUCCGAGUUGUAUGAUUUUAAACAUAGAUAAAACUGUCUAAGAUCAAUCUUCCCAUCAAUAAAAUGGGAGCAUUAUACUUAUAGAGCUGUUGUGAGGAUAAAAUGGAACAAUACCUCUGAAUGUCUUAAUAUAAGGUCUUGGCACAUCUGUGAGUACUCUACAAGUGGCUGCUGUUUUAUAUUAUUACUAUCAUUGCAAUUUUAUCUUAUUGUUACAUGUCAUGAAGCCAGAUGGAGAAUCUUGCUUGAUCUUGACCAUGAGUAGCAAGGAGAAGAAAAGGAGUGAAUAAUAAUAAUAAUAAUAAUAAUAAUAAUAAAGUUUUGUUUUCCAAAAAAAUUACAAUGAAAAAUAAAAGUCAGUAUUUUAUUUUAUUUCAUGAUGACUAACUACCUGGAAUAGGUAAAAAUAGAUUUUUUUUAAAGAAACAUAACCGAUUCCCAAUUUCCCAUAAUCAGGGAAUAAAUGUUAGUAUAAUGGAAUCAUAAGUACUCUUUAAAUUUUGUUUAAAUUUCUUAUUGUAGCAAACCCAAAGUGGAACCAAAAAAAUAAAUAAAAUCUAGUCAUUUAUGUAUGUAUCUUCUGGUGCAAAACAGGCUAAAAUCUGAAGAAUAGGAAAGAGGAGGGGAUGGUUAUGCUGAGUACCACCACUUUCAGUUCCAAAUUUGCAGUAAGUCGGCUUUUCAAUGUUGUCAUUUCUACCAGAUGUCCAUGAAAAGUGUGUGUGUGUUACACAAGGGACGGAAGAAAUGGUCAGUGGAUUUCUGGUUGGGUACCUUACACGAGCCUGGUGAAAUGUGCAGCCUCUGGAUACCCCCAUUUGAUGGGAACUGGGUGAUCCUUUUUGUUCUCCAUCGAGUCUCCAAGAGGAAGUUCACUGUUCACUACUUGUAAUCACCAGGACCCACUGGGAAAGGUGUUUACAAGGCUUUAAAGAUGACAAAGGGGAACUUGCAAGGAUUUUAUAGUCGGAACGGAAAAGCUCAUCCAUAAUGAAGGGAAAAGGGUGAUCAGAACAGAUAGUAAAUGUAGACCCGGCAAUAGAAGGGUUUUGAGGUUUUAAAAUGCUGUUUUGGUGAUGAUCAAAUUGAAAAGUCAGAAAGGAAACAAUGUGAAAGUAAGCAACUGUGUGUGAGAGAGUGUGUGUGUGUGUGUGUGUGUGU